This 153-nucleotide ribosomal RNA is filed under the name uncultured Enterococcus sp. RNAcentral describes it as "partial 16S ribosomal RNA". It matches the Rfam family "Bacterial small subunit ribosomal RNA", at positions 335 to 484 of the family's 1533-position model. Lineage: Bacteria; Bacillati; Bacillota; Bacilli; Lactobacillales; Enterococcaceae. The record is from RNAcentral.
ACUCCUACGGGAGGCAGCAGUAGGGAAUCUUCGGCAAUGGACGAAAGUCUGACUCGAGCAACGCCGCGUGAGUGAAGAAGGUCCUCGGAUCGUAAACUCUGUUGUAGAGAAGAACAAGGACGUAUGUAACUGAACUCACGUGACGAUCUACCA